CUGGUUCAGCCUUGGUGGGGUUGCUGAAAACAAAAAAAUAUUUCUGGAGUGGAAAGAUCUUCAGAAAUGUUCUUGCCAAAAAAUGUUUUAUUUAGUUCUUUAUCUCAGGUCAUAUUUCUGCAGGGAGGAUUUUCCUAACACCUUCAGAGCUCAGAGCAGUGCCAUAUGCAUGAGGUAUCUGUGUGUCAAGGAGAUGGGAGGAGCACAGUAGGGGCGUGAGAAGGUUGGCUUUAGCUUUAAAAUUUUGAAACUUAUGGAGGUUUCCGGAAUCACCAAGCCAAUAGCACUGAUGACCCAAGCCCCAAAAGUGCUGAGGUCCUGUAGGGAUCCUCAGCCACACUCAUUGUUUCCAUGGAAACAAUAGAACUUUCUGAUAUAAAAUAGAAGGCAACCUAUAGACAUCACACUUACAAAAAUAGAGAUCUGGUUUUCAUCUCUGCUUCUUGGACUGGGGCCAGCUUUUCCUGUUGUCUCUUUUAUGGAAUUUGAAAUAAGGAGCCGAAGAAAAACUCCUAAGUGGGAGAAAAAGACUUCAUUCCCUGAGUCCGAAGAAGGAGUCAGUGAACGGGUUUCAAAUCGUGUCGGGACUUCUAAAUUACAGGGGCAACAGCCCAGGAACGGAAAAACUGCUCUCAUCUGCUUUCUGGCCUGUCUCCAGACUAAAGCAGCUGUGAAUAUCUUGAGGUUUCCAGUGUGGCCUGUCAGAGACUGCUGGUUUGAAUAAUCCUGAUGAGAUCUGGAGAAAGAGCACGGGCACAUGAACAUUUAUAAGCAGGGUAGAAUCUUUAUCCCUUUCAGGUUCAUUGGAAUGUCACUGUCACUACUGAUAAAUCAACAGUGUCAUCUUUUCCAUUACCUCAGUACCUCACAUAGAGAGCAUGAUGUAAUGGAAGGAUCCUUACCGCACGGGUCAGAGUCCCAGGUUCUGGUCCUGAUUCUGCCUCUGUGAACUGUGUGACCUUGGCUAAGGCGCUUACGCUCUCUGGGCUUUACUUCAGUCACCUGUAAAGGGGAAGAGGGGAGACACUAGAUGAUCUUUUUGUUUUCAUUUUUCUUUAUUAUAAAAACACAUAAAAUUGACCAUCUUAACCAUUUUUAAGUGUACGUUUCAGUAGUACUAAGUAUAUUCACAUCAUCAUGAAACAGAUUUCCAGAACGUUUUCAUUUUGCAAAUCUGAAACUAUAUAGCUAUGAAACAACUCGCCUUCUUCUCUUUCUGGAAACCUCUGGUAACCACCAUUAUACUUCCUGUUUCUAUGCCCCUCCUAUGACCUCACAUAAGGGACACCAUACAGUAUCUUUCUGCUUGCAACUGACUUAUUUCACUUCGCAUAAAAUCCUCAAUGUUUAUUCAUAUUGUAUCAAGUGUCAGGAUCUCCUUCCUUUUUAAGGCUGAAUGAUAUUCCAUUGUACGGAUAUACCACAUUUUGUUGAUCCAUUCAUCCACUGAUGGACAUUUGGGUUUUGGCUAUUGUGAGUAGUGCUAUUACCAUGAGUAUUCAAAUAUAUGCUCAAGACCCUGCUCUCGAUUCUUUUGCGUAUAUACCCGGAAGUGGGAUUGCUGGAUCACAUUUUUGAGGAACUGCCAUACUGUUUUCACAGUUGCUGUACCACUUUACCUUCCCGCUAAGAGCAAACAACGGUUACAAUUUCUCCACGUUCUUACCAACAGUUGUUAUUUUCUGCUUUUUUUGAUAGUAGCCAUCCUAAUGGCCAUGAGGUGAUAUAUCCUUGUGGUUUUGAUUUGAUUUCCAUUUAUCUGAUGAUAUUGACUAUUCAUCUUUAACAUUUAUAGUUCUAGAUUCUUUCUGUCUUCAACCAACUUUUUAAGCACUUUUUUCUUUCUUUAUAGGAACAGAUAAUAGUUAAUUACCAAGAAAUUGAAUCUAUCAAUGACUCUGAUAGGGUUUGUUUUUUGAGUUUUUUUUUUUUUUUUUUUCGUGCUGGGCUUUUGCUGUGUUAAGUGGUGGGAAAUGAGAAUGUGUUCUUCAGGACUUGAUAUAAUUGAAUGUCUGUCACUUGAAGGAAAGUGUGGUGUGGAAUCUUUUUCCUUCCAAAACUAAUGCUUCUUCACAACUAACUAUGUGUUGAUCAUUUUUCUAAGUGCAUUACAUAUAUUAACAUAUUUAAUCUUCACAGCGACAACAAUCUUAUGAAGUCUUAGUAUUAUCCUUAUUUCACAAUGAUGAAACAGCACAGAGAGGGCAAGUAACUUGCCUGAGGUCACACAGCUAGUCAGCUAAGGCCAGAGGUCUCUCUGCCUCCUGUCUCUCUCAAUCUCAGCCAUUGCCUUGGAUAAAAACCUCUUUAAUCUUUAUCCUAUUACACAGGGAUGCUUUUUGCCUCCCCACCUCCUCCUUUCCUUCCACAUCAUUCAACUGUGCCCUCUGGAACUCUAUUCAUAGAUCUUUAACAUUUCUCCUAAAUGUUUCCUGUCUUCUGCUAUCAGCUAAACCUUAGUUUCCCUAAGGUUCCUGCUUCCCUUUUAUCCUUUUCAAGUGGCGAGGGCUCAUACUCACCUGCCCUCUGCCUCUCUGGGCUGGGAGUUAGGAACUAAUAUCUCUCUUGCUCUCCAAAGCUAUUGCCAGGUCACUAUUCCUUCUCUCUUAUGUAAAAUUUCUAUUGGCUUUGUGGUUCACACUUUGUCCUAUGUCAUCCCUAUCAUGUGUCAAUCUGCCCCUCAGUCUCCAACAUUCACAUGAGAUUUGGGGCUGGGCAUCGUGCCUCAUGUCUGUAAUCCCAGCACUUUGAGAGGCCGAGGUGGGUGGAUCACUGGAGGUUAGGAGUUUGAGACCAGCCUGGCCAACAUGAUGAAACCCAGUCUCUACUGAAAAUACAAAAAUUAGCCGGGCGUGCUGGUGUGCACCUGUAGUCCCAGCUACUCGGGAGGCUGAGGUAUGAGAAUCUCUUGGACCUGGGAGGCAGAGGUUGCAGUGAGCCGAGAUCUCACCAUUGCAUUCCAGCCUGGACGACAAGAGUGAAAUUCUGUCUCAGAAAAAAAAAAAAAAAAAGAUUUUGACAGCAGGCCUUUUCUCUCCCCCAUGUUCUGCCAGCUGCCAGCUGGGUAACUCCAGUGUCCAGGAAGGCAGUCCUCCUGACGCACUAACUCUCCCGAUCUUUAGUUUCGGCCUCAAUGUUUUCAUGUAGCCUGUACUUUGCCAUGCAGGAUUUUAAUAGCCCUACCUUGCUGCGUCAUCACUCAGGAUUCCCUCAUCCCCAAAUCUCAAACUCCUAUGUCCUCCCGGCUCACUCAUUCCCUUACCCCCACUACCCCAUCAGUUAGCUCAUGAAGGUGUCCAGAUCCUAGACUCUUCCUUAUCCACACGGUCUACAUUCCCUCCUGGCUUAUCCCCCAUCCUCAUGGUCAUCCGAAC
This 3374-nucleotide long non-coding RNA is filed under the name Macaca mulatta (Rhesus monkey). Its description in RNAcentral is "lncRNA (ENSMMUG00000058032.1)". The record is from RNAcentral. Lineage: Eukaryota; Metazoa; Chordata; Mammalia; Primates; Cercopithecidae.